UGGCCUCUCCCUCUGCCUCCACACUUUUUCUCACUUCAUUUACCAUUUCUCUGCUUAUUUCAAAUCUUAUUCUUUACCCAAAUGGAGAGCCUCACCUUGACUGGGUUGUUGAACAAAUCUGCAACUGAAUUUCCCAAUCAUCGCGCUCUUUCCGUUUCUGGUAAACUCGAUUUGACGCACUCUCAAUUGCGACACCUCGUUGAUCAUGCCGCUUCUCUCCUUAUCGCUUCCGGUGUCAAUCCUGGCGAUGUCGUCGCUCUCACUUUCCCAAACACGGUCGAGUUUGUGGUGAUGUUUUUGGCCGUUAUAAGGUGCCGAGUCACGGCUGCGCCGCUAAACGCCGCUUACACAGCCGAGGAAUUCGAGUUUUACCUUUCCGACUCCGAAUCAAAGCUCCUCAUUACGUCACCAGAAGGCAUCGAAUCGGCUCUAGCCGCUGCUUCCAAGCUCAACAUACCUCAUGGGGCAGCUACGUUCCACUUGAAAACGAAAACAAUAACCCUCUCUUCGUCAAAUACCGAGUCAAAUGU
RNAcentral lists this unclassified non-coding RNA (530 nucleotides) under Hevea brasiliensis (rubber tree). Lineage: Eukaryota; Viridiplantae; Streptophyta; Magnoliopsida; Malpighiales; Euphorbiaceae. The record is from RNAcentral.